This 254-nucleotide small RNA is filed under the name Otolemur garnettii (small-eared galago). RNAcentral's name for it is "Metazoan signal recognition particle RNA (ENSOGAG00000029405.1)". Lineage: Eukaryota; Metazoa; Chordata; Mammalia; Primates; Galagidae. The record is from RNAcentral.
GGCAGGAGACUCGCUUGAGCCCAGGAGUUGGAGGUUGCUGUGAGCUAUAAAGCCACGGCACUCUACCCAGGGUGACAGCUUGAGGCUCUGUCCCAAAAAAAAAAAAAAAAAAAGAGAAGAUCUCAUUAUGUUGCCCUUGGUAGAGUGCUAUGGCAUCACAGCUCACAGCAACCUCAAACCCUUGGGCUUAAGCAAUUCUCUUGCCUUAGCCUCCCAAGUAGCUGGGACUACAGGCACCCGCCACAACACCCAGC